AACAACUAUCCGCUGUGCUCUGAAGUCAUCUCCCAAUGAAUCAAUAACUCACCUCUGGAAAUCGACUUGUAAUCAUACUAACACCCAAUAUGAUCAGUAUACGUCGACAAAAGAAGUAAUUAAGUCAUUCCGUGAAAUUCAAGAAGAUAAAUUGGAAAAUCAGUUAAAAUGCCAAGGUUCAUUCUUCUCCAGCAUCUCAAAAUUUUCACUACCCCAAGUAAAUUCGAUUUGGCCAACCUGUCAAUCCAAACUACCAAAAAACAUUUUCAACUUCACUAUUCGCUACAUAAACAAUUCGCUACCAACCCGUAAAAACCUUCAAAAAUGGGGCCUCUCCUCGUCCUCUGAGUGCUCGUUUUGCCUUAAACCUGAAUCUCUGUUACACGUUGUUGCUGGCUGUAGUUCUUAUCUUGAUCGAUUUACUUGGAGACACGACUCAAUCCUAAAUUUUAUUGCUAAUAACCUCCCAUGAUCCUAUCAGAACAUAUUCAGACCAUUUAUGCUGACUUACCGUCAUUCCCUAAUCCCUCUAUUAUUACUGGUGAUGACCAUCGUCCUGAUCUACUAAUUUUGACCAAAGACAAUUGUCUGUAUGUACUCGAACUAACCGUUGGAUAUGAGACUAACCUGAGAAAUAAUAUACAGCGCAAAUAUUCAAAAUAUAAAGAAAUGAUCGUAGAACAAAAGAAAAAAUUCCGGCCGGUAAAGUUCAUUAACCUCUCCAUCAGUGCACUCGGUGUUUUUGAAAAAGAAUCUUCACAUUUCAUACAAAUGUUGGAAUAUUUGAACUCAGAUAAGGCCGGUGUUAAAUAUAUCAUUAGGAAAAUCAUUAACAUUGCAAUAAGAACGACAUAUUACGUUUUCUGUUCUAGAAACAAGGAUUGGUCGAAUCCAGAUUUAAUGAACUUCUAGUUAGUCUCUUACUUUUUGUAUCAUAUAAUUAUGUCCAUGUGUUAUGUAAAUGUAGUAAUAUAUAGCGUAUCAAGUAGCCAAUUGUAAAUUACCUUUAACAGUGAGAUUUUCAAUUGUAAGUGCAUAAAAAAUUCAAUAAAGUUUUCAUUAUUAUUAUUAUUAUUAUUAUUAUUCUGUAGAAAUUCCAUUUUGAUGAUUUGUACAUAUUUUAAGCUUAGUUUAACAUUGUAUUCUUUUCUUAAUCUUUUGUACCAUAAUGUAGCCAGGUUGCCUAUAAUACUUUAGUGA
Paramuricea clavata is the source of this 1200-nucleotide non-coding RNA. Lineage: Eukaryota; Metazoa; Cnidaria; Anthozoa; Malacalcyonacea; Plexauridae. The record is from the annotation of a GenBank genome assembly.